CGUUGAUAGCCUAUCAAGUGUGCUCCAAAGAACACUGUCUCGGUGCAGCAUUUCAGCGAUAUGUUUAACCAACAUGUGCUCGCCUGUUUACAGGUUAUGUCCACUCCAAGGGCUCGCAAGUGACGUCGGCUGCCAUCGGUCAUCGACACCUGUCACAUGACGGCGGUCGGCUGCAGAUCGCUCUGUCGCACGUGCGCUUCUCCCCAGAGACGCAUGCGCGUCAGAGAAACUUGCCACUUCGUUCCGGGUUGCCUUAUUUAUAAACAUGGCGACGGAACCGCGCUUCGAUGAAUCUCUCGCCAGUGAAACUUCUUUCUUUGGCGAGUUAACACCGUGGGAAGAGCGGGUUCUGGAGCGUUGCCGAAAGGCUAACACAACAUUAUACAGCGACACUCCUGUUCUUCCCGACGGUGUGAGCUUCCAUGGAGUCGGAGAGCCCGUCACAGAUCCACCAACGCCACCGUCACCAACGCGACAUGACAACUGGUGUGCGUGUGGUAACUGCUCCGCAAUGCCGAUGGCGCGUGAGGAGGUGUGCUGCACCUCUAUUGCCGAAGUAAGGAGAAGAUGUCCAGACGGCUGCAUCGUAGAUCACUCGGACUUCCAAACUCUUUGCCUCACGACUGUUGUCAUGGAAGUUAUGGGCAUUCAAUACAAAAAGUGCGGAUUACUGCUUGGGAAGGAACCCAACGAGACUGCAUAUUCGCAGGUCAGUGUUUGGAUCAAUAUCCUGACGGUGAAUUAGAGAAAGCCACCUGCUUCUUGCUGGCUCAUUCGCCAGAACCUUAUGCGUACGACAGCCAGACGUCCAUUUCGUUUUCUGAUUCACGCAGCCCCGAAUGCCGCACGGCAUCGCUGCUCACCUAGUCGAUGGCACACUUGGAUACGGGACUUUCUCCACACAAAUAAAACAGAAUUUUUCAACUGAGCGCUGUCUGCAACUCCUAUCGCCUGUA
This is a long non-coding RNA of Ornithodoros turicata, 956 nucleotides long. RefSeq lists it as uncharacterized. Lineage: Eukaryota; Metazoa; Arthropoda; Arachnida; Ixodida; Argasidae. The record is from RefSeq and is a predicted model, not a curated record. The transcript has 3 exons.